AUGUUGGAGAUGGUUUUUAUUGGUUGGACAAGUUUCGAUGUUGGUUGACUGAGCAAGCUGACUAGAUGAGCUCAACACGAAAUGGAAAGUUGAGAAUAAUUGAGUGCAGUUAAAAGGAAGGCUGCAAGUCCGUCUGCUUCCGGUUGCUGUCACACUAACACCGGUGACUCGCUGAAUCGCAGACGAUGGCCAACAAAAUAGAGGGGUUGAGCUUUGAGCAACGGCAAGGGAAACAAAGGGUUAGGGUGGCCAGGGUUUGGCGGAACAACGACGGAUGCCAUUCCAUCGUCGAAUGGAACGUCGGCAUCAGCCUCCUCUCCGAUUGCGUCAAUGCCUAUACCCGCGGCGACAACUCUGAUCUCGUCACUACCGAUACCAUGAAGAACACUGUAUAUGUAAAGGCAAAGGAAUGUAAAGAAGAACUUUCAGUGGAGGAAUUUGCAGUUCGACUUGCAAAGCACUUCACAUCGCUUUACCAGCAGGUCACUACUGCCAUAGUAAAGAUUGUGGAGAAGCCAUGGGAGCGUGCAUAUGUAGAUGGUCAACCCCACGAACAUGGUUUCAAAUUGGGAUCUGAGAAGCAUACAACAGAGGUAAUUUUUGAGAAAUCUGGUGCACUUAGGCUGACUUCUGGUAUUGAAGGACUAUCUCUGCUAAAGACAACAAAGUCAGGUUUUGAGGGGUUUAUUAGGGACAAAUACACAGCUCUUCCUGACACACGAGAGAGGAUACUGGCUACAGAAAUCACUGCAUCAUGGAAGUACCAAUAUGAAUCUAUUUUUAGCAUCCCUCAAAAGCCGCUGUACUUCACUGAAAGAUACCUGAAUGUGAAAAAAGCUCUCGCUGACACUUUCUAUGGUCCUCCAAAGGAAGGAGUGUAUAGCCCGUCCGUCCAAAGCACUCUGUUUCACAUGGCAAAGACUGUUCUCAAGGGGUUUCCUGACAUAGCAGCAGUACAACUGAAAAUGCCAAAUAUCCAUUUCUUACCUGUUAAUCUAUCUAACACGGAUAAUACUAUUGUGAAGGUCAUGACAGUGACGCAUCUUUGAAAUAAGGGAUUAAGUUUACUGAGAUGUGUGAAACCAAAUCCUUGGUAUAACGAAAACAUAGAGAUGCCAAUGGAAGAUUUUCAAUUGCAUGUGAAUUUUUAUGUUUGAGGACGAUGUUUAUCUCCCAACAGAUGAACCACACGGAUCAAUCGAAGCUACUCUAAGCCGUUUCUGGUCAAAGAUGUAGUGCUGCUCGCCAUUUUUAUGCAUUUGUAAUUGAUAAAAAAAAAUAGGCCGCAUGCAGCUGCUUCAUGUUAAUUUAUACUUUACUAUGUAUUAUCAUGAUUUCCAAACUUUCAUACGUUAAGUAUUUUUUAUCCCAGUGCCAUUACCGAAAAUGAGGAUUUUGAGAGACUUU
Non-coding RNA from Malus domestica (apple), 1407 nucleotides. The record is from RefSeq and is a predicted model, not a curated record. Lineage: Eukaryota; Viridiplantae; Streptophyta; Magnoliopsida; Rosales; Rosaceae.